Molecule: non-coding RNA, 1194 nt
Organism: Coturnix japonica (Japanese quail)
Lineage: Eukaryota; Metazoa; Chordata; Aves; Galliformes; Phasianidae
Source: RefSeq, a predicted model, not a curated record
CACCACUAAGGCAGCUUCUUUUUUUGGAGAUUACUUCUGCGUGGGGUUUCUACAGUGAACCUCAAUGUUGGUGUGUGUUCAUCUUGACUGAGAGUCUCAGCAUUGGAUCAGUUCAAGAAUACAGAUGCAUACAUGCUGAAGCUGGUAAACUGCAGUUUUGAAGAAAUAUCUCUUCACUGAUCCAUGCAAUGGUGCUGGCACCCUACUACUAUGAAAAAUCUACACUUAUACCUACUGAUACUAUUUGGAUUCUUAGCUCUGAAGACUCCAUUUGAAAGCAGGUGCUGAGGCUUAAAACAGCUUGUAUUAGAUAGAAUCCUACCCAAAGGAACUAUGAGAAACAAAACUUCACUUUUUUUUUUUUCCCAAUAAGCUCCUGCAUAACUAGAACUAUGUGUAAGAGGAAGAGAAUUACGCUACAGACAGAACAGCGGACUUGAGGAAGAAUUUUGUAUCUGCUACUGUGAUCUAUGAGCUGAGGAAAGCAGAAUCACAAACUGAUUUUUUAAUUAAUAUUCAGUUUUUGAAUUUUCUGAAGAAUUUUGCAAGUUAGCCCUUAAGAGGAUCUAAGCUACCAAAUUCAGCUCCUUCCAAGAACAUAUACAAAGUUGCUGAUGACUGCAUCGCUCAGCCUCCACCAGUUCUUCAAACAGAAGAUGCUUCUUUCUACCUAAUCUUUGCAUGUCUUCUAUGACCCUGUGAAGAGAUGUUAUUCUUCAUCCAUUUCCAUCAAUACUAAUCUUCUGUAUUAAAAAUGUUUCCCAUGCACAUAACUAUGUGACAUGUACAAAACAUGCAGUGUAUAAAUCAACAGAUUUCUUCCAUUGUAAAUAUCUUUAAAUAUGAACUUUUAGUUACUAAGUGGACGCACAUAUAUAAAGCUGUACACAGUAUCUACAAGGCAUCCAAGAAGGCUGAAUGUCUUAAAGAAACAUCUAUGUUAGUUUCUCCAAUUUUUUAUUUUAUGAAGUUGACUAAUGGAGCAAUAGUACAAGAACAAAAUAGUGAAGUCUGCUCAACAGAAAUGAUAAAAUAAAAAUACAUAUUUUCUCAAUCUUUCUUAUAAAUGAUAACAUACUGUUCAAGACUGUCUAACAGUAACUAUGAAAUACUGCAGAAUGUCAUACCUAGAAAGUGAGAUAAGGACUAUUAUGACAUACAUGUUGCUUUAUCAUUGAGUGCUCAUGAAGAAAA